RNAcentral lists this long non-coding RNA (507 nucleotides) under Taeniopygia guttata (zebra finch). Its description in RNAcentral is "lncRNA (ENSTGUG00000026200.1)". The record is from RNAcentral. Lineage: Eukaryota; Metazoa; Chordata; Aves; Passeriformes; Estrildidae.
CAGUACGUUUUGGACUCAUGAAGUUUUGAAGUUUGCUCCUGGCAGUGUUUGGUAUUUAUUUCUGUGAAGUACAGACCAAUAGCAACAGGAGAGAGAUAUCAGAGCACCCUGCAAACUGGAGACCGUGGGCACUGUCCUAGGAAUUGUGAAAGCUGGAGCUGACUCUGUCAGAAUGAGAAGGUUCUAGAAUCUGACCCCCCCUCUGCCCAGGAAAUAGAAACACUUGGCCACUCUAUAAAUGAGACUUUACCAUGACUCUUCAGACCAUCUGUCAUUGGUGAAGAAAGUAUCUCGGUCAGUGAAUGGUUCUUCAUAGUGGUGUCAAGCAAAAGAAAAACCAAGCCUGUCAUUGUCAUCUGCAUGUAGAAAAUUACUGAGAGCACCUCUGUUAGAAUUUUAGUGUUUAAGAACUGUACAGGGCAUGGUAACUAUGAGAAUACUGCUCCACAAAAUCAAAUUGAAAAGGUAACCUUUGUUAAUUAGCAUAUUUGAAUAAAUGAUCUCGAA